Molecule: transfer RNA, 81 nt
Filed under: Tulasnella sp. JGI-2019a
Lineage: Eukaryota; Fungi; Basidiomycota; Agaricomycetes; Cantharellales; Tulasnellaceae
Rfam family: tRNA
About the family: Transfer RNA (tRNA) molecules are approximately 80 nucleotides in length. Their secondary structure includes four short double-helical elements and three loops (D, anti-codon, and T loops).
Source: Rfam by way of RNAcentral
GGCUACCUGGCGCAAUGGUAGCGCGUCCGCCUACGAUUUGUGUUUAGCGGGAAGUUGCAGGUUCGAUCCCUGCGGUGGUCA